This 253-nucleotide ribosomal RNA is filed under the name uncultured bacterium. RNAcentral describes it as "partial 16S ribosomal RNA". It matches the Rfam family "Bacterial small subunit ribosomal RNA", at positions 524 to 776 of the family's 1533-position model. The record is from RNAcentral.
UACAGAGGUCUCAAGCGUUGUUCGGAUUCAUUGGGCGUAAAGGGUGCGUAGGCGGCGCGGUAAGUCGGGUGUGAAAUCUCGGGGCUUAACUCCGAAACUGCAUUCGAUACUGCCGUGCUUGAGGACUGGAGAGGAGACUGGAAUUUACGGUGUAGCGGUGAAAUGCGUAGAUAUCUGGAGGAACACCGGUGGCGAAGGCGGCAUCCUGGACCGGCAUUGACGCUGAGGAGCGAAAGCCAGGGGAGCAAACGGG